Molecule: ribosomal RNA, 370 nt
Filed under: uncultured prokaryote
Description: bacterial SSU rRNA
Rfam family: Bacterial small subunit ribosomal RNA
Source: RNAcentral
UACGAAGGUGGCAAGCGUUGUUCGGAUUCACUGGGCGUACAGGGAGCGUAGGCGGUUGGGUAAGCCCUCCGUGAAAUCUCCGGGCCUAACCCGGAAAGUGCAGAGGGGACUGCUCAGCUAGAGGAUGGGAGAGGAGCGCGGAAUUCCCGGUGUAGCGGUGAAAUGCGUAGAGAUCGGGAGGAAGGCCGGUGGCGAAGGCGGCGCUCUGGAACAUUUCUGACGCUGAGGCUCGAAAGCGUGGGGAGCAAACAGGAUUAGAUACCCUGGUAGUCCACGCCUUAAACUAUGGAUACUAAGUGUCGGCGGUUUACCGUCGGUGCCGCAGCUAACGCAAUAAGUAUCCCGCCUGGGAAGUACGGCCGCAAGGUUG